This 125-nucleotide microRNA precursor is filed under the name Myotis lucifugus (little brown bat). RNAcentral's name for it is "mir-9193 microRNA precursor family". It matches the Rfam family "mir-9193 microRNA precursor family". The record is from Rfam by way of RNAcentral. Lineage: Eukaryota; Metazoa; Chordata; Mammalia; Chiroptera; Vespertilionidae.
CGUGCGCCGGUGGGGUCCCUCGGCCUGGCCUGUAACCUCUCGCAAUCUGGGACCCCUCCGGGGAUGUUGGAGAGCCGAUUCAGCCUGAUCCCACAGGCCAGGCCGAGGGACCCCACUGGUGCAUG